CAGAGCUUAGUCUAACUGGUAAGGCGUCAACAUUGCCCGUUGAGAAUGCAGGUUCGAAUCCUGUAGCUCUGU
This 72-nucleotide transfer RNA is filed under the name Lactobacillus crispatus. RNAcentral's name for it is "tRNA-Ala". It matches the Rfam family "tRNA". From Rfam's summary of the family: Transfer RNA (tRNA) molecules are approximately 80 nucleotides in length. Their secondary structure includes four short double-helical elements and three loops (D, anti-codon, and T loops). The record is from RNAcentral. Lineage: Bacteria; Bacillati; Bacillota; Bacilli; Lactobacillales; Lactobacillaceae. RNAcentral also lists the same sequence under 1 other name.